Molecule: ribosomal RNA, 639 nt
Filed under: Campylobacter ureolyticus
Lineage: Bacteria; Pseudomonadati; Campylobacterota; Epsilonproteobacteria; Campylobacterales; Campylobacteraceae
Description: bacterial SSU rRNA
Rfam family: Bacterial small subunit ribosomal RNA
Source: RNAcentral
GAGCGUAAACUCCUUUUAUCAGGAAAGAAUAAUGACGGUACCUGAUGAAUAAGCACCGGCUAACUCCGUGCCAGCAGCCGCGGUAAUACGGGGGGUGCAAGCGUUACUCGGAAUCACUGGGCGUAAAGGACGCGUAGGCGGAUUAUCAAGUCUUUUGUGAAAUCUAGUGGCUUAACCACUAAACUGCUUAGGAAACUGAUAGUCUAGAGUAGGGGAGAGGUAGAUGGAAUUCUUGGUGUAGGGGUAAAAUCCGUAGAGAUCAAGAAGAAUACCCAUUGCGAAAGCGAUCUGCUGGAACCUAACUGACGCUGAGGCGUGAAAGCGUGGGUAGCAAACAGGAUUAGAUACCCUGGUAGUCCACGCCCUAAACGAUGUAUACUAGUUGUUGCUUUGCUAGUCAAGGCAGUAAUGCAGCUAACGCAUUAAGUAUACCGCCUGGGGAGUACGGUCGCAAGAUUAAAACUCAAAGGAAUAGACGGGGACCCGCACAAGCGGUGGAGCAUGUGGUUUAAUUCGAAGAUACGCGAAGAACCUUACCUGGACUUGACAUCCUAAAAACAUCUAAGAGAUUAGAAAGUGCUAGUUUACUAGAAUUUAGUGACAGGUGCUGCACGGCUGUCGUCAGCUCGUGUCGUGAGA